CCAGCAGUCCUCUGACCACACCAUACCUGAGCACAUUUACUGUGGACAGCAUGUUUAGCUUGAAGUCUUUCCUUCUACCCCAUCAUAGCUACCACUGUUGUGAGAACUCCCAUGUCCAGCACUCCAGGGAGGUGACAUCAGGAUGAAGUAUUCAUUUGUGAUGAGCAGUGUGCAAACAAUAAUAAAGCCAAAUCCACAUUUUUGUGACACUCCUGACAAACUGCUGCUGUAUUAAAGAAAUAAAUUACA
This 249-nucleotide long non-coding RNA is filed under the name Homo sapiens (human). RNAcentral's name for it is "HSALNT0084666". Lineage: Eukaryota; Metazoa; Chordata; Mammalia; Primates; Hominidae. The record is from RNAcentral.